RNAcentral lists this ribosomal RNA (384 nucleotides) under Triticum aestivum (bread wheat). RNAcentral describes it as "partial small subunit ribosomal RNA". Lineage: Eukaryota; Viridiplantae; Streptophyta; Magnoliopsida; Poales; Poaceae. The record is from RNAcentral.
UUCUUUCUGUGCCCUGUCGCUAGAAUAGUUUGGCGGACGGUAGGGGCAAUGCUUGGCACUGAUUUAUGCCCUAAUAACUUGUGCCAGUUCUACUCCUGGUGCUAUGAUUUUCUUCCCCGGGGGGAACGACAUUUCACUGUGGGCUUAGCGGCUGUAUGCUGGGCUAUCUGGAAUCGCAGAAACCAAGCUACUUUUGAACACAAGAAACUGUCAUCUCCUUUUGAGAUUGUCUUCACAACCUAUGUGCAUUUGAAAUACUGGGCAGGACUGUUGAAAGGCCCGGAGCGGGAAGAGCUGGAGCACGGCGCGCUGCUGCUGAGGGACAAUGUUGUGAAGAUGAUGAGGCUGUGCGCAUCUGCCCACGCUGAGAGAAGCUCGGAAUGA